RNAcentral lists this long non-coding RNA (2180 nucleotides) under Rattus norvegicus (Norway rat). RNAcentral describes it as "long non-coding RNA NONRATT031440". The record is from RNAcentral. Lineage: Eukaryota; Metazoa; Chordata; Mammalia; Rodentia; Muridae.
UUCUUGGCCCAGAGAACCAAGAAUUCCUUGGAAGCAAGAGGCAGUUUGAAUCCUUCCGGGAACACUGCAGCGCCCAGAGGGCGCCCUCACCUCGAGCCGGGGCCUCAGGUGGGCGAAGUGGAACGGGGGCGUGGUCUCGAGGGUGGGUCCUAGGGCGUGGCGCUGGCCCGGAGGUUUGGAGCGCAGAAGGCUGAGCGCGCCAGUAUUCGCUUGGCGAUCCGAUCCAGCGCUCUUUCAUGCGCCCUGCAGGCACAGGCUCCAGACUGUUGGAAAAGCCUGCUGGGACAUGUCAUCAUCGCUGGAUGCCUGGGGCUCGAUAGAAACUUGGCAGCACAAUAGCCCCUCUGAGCAAGUACAGGAUGUCACCAGGAAUCAGAGCCUCCACAGAUUCAGACUUCCUGUGAUUCUAAAUGGUAAAAUGAAGUCUGAAUGUUUUUCUUUUUCUUUUUAAAAUUUUAUUUAUUUAUUUAUUUAUUUAUUUAUUUAUUUAUUUUUAUUUACUUUACAUAUUGCUCAUGGCUCUCCUCCAUCACCCCCUUCCACAAUCCUUCUCCCUCUCUCCUCUCCCCUUCUCCUCUGAGAGGAUAGAGGUACCUCAUGGAUACCCCCCACCCACCUUGGCACAAGUCUCUGCUAGGUACAUCCUCUCUCACGGACACCAGACAGGGCAGCCCAGCUAGAAAGAAGUACAUAUCCCACAGACAGGCAACAGCUUUUGGGAUAAGCCCUUUGAGACCCUCAUGAAGACCAAGCUGCACAUCUGCUACACAUGUGUGUGGGGAGCAGUGGCUAGGUCCAGCACAUGUAUGCUCUGUGGUUGGAGGUUCAGACUCUGAGCCCAAGGGACAGACCAGGUUAGGUCAUCCUGUGGAGUUCCUAUUCCCUUCGGGGCCUGUAGUCCAUCCUCCAAUUCUUCCAUAAGUGUCCCCAAGCUCCUUCCACUGUUUGGCUCUGGGUCUCUCUAUCCCCUGUCUGAGUUUGCUGCUGGGUGGAGCCUCUCAAAGGACAGGGGUGCUAGACUCCUGCCGGGUAUGUCCCUUUGGGUCCACGUUACCUCACGCAGGAUGAUGAUUCUCAAGUUCCAUCCAUUCGCCUUCUUAAUGUUAUGCUAUAUCCAGAGUGACCGGUUAUCUAUUUAUUUCACUUUGUCCUAUUAGUAGUAACAAAUUACUUCCUAAUGUACUAUUUUCAAGUGGCAUUGUUUAUUUUGAUGUCAGAAAUUUACUUCAAGCCAGGCAUCAGGGUCCAUGCUUGCAGUCCCAGACAGUAUUUGGGAAGCUGACUAAAGCAGGAAGAUCAUCAGUAGUCAAGGGCAACCUGUCCCCCAAACAAUGACAACUUCUACCCCCACUCUCCACUGCCACCGCACAUACACACACUAGCACCCUUCAGUACUGCUUCAGAUCUUGUGUGGGUAAAAUGAAUGACCUUUGACCUUUUUUUUUUUGAAGUAGACCCUUAGUUACAGAGCCAACUGUUUUGUUUUAGUUUUGCUUGUUUGUUUUUUGAAUCGGUCCCAUUAUGUACCCUUGGCUGGCCAAGAACUCACACCUGCCUCUGACUCCUGAGUGCUGGGAUUAAAAGCUUAUAAUAUAUUGAGUUUAUAGAAUUGUUCUUAGACAAACAAGCAAACCACACAGUGGGGGUUGGGAGGGCUGGAGAGAAGGCUCAGUACUUAAAGGAGUUUGCUGCUUUUGCAAAGGACUGAUGGUCGUUUCCCAACACCUACAUUGGGUGGUUCAUAACUGUGUAUAACUCUAGCUCAGGGAAUCUGAUGCCAUUGCCUUUGUGGGCACCUGUACUCCUGUGGACAUGCCCCCUAUACACAAAGUUAAAAAUAAAAUAAGUCUUUUUAAAAUGGGGCAAGGAUUUAGUUCCAUUAGUGAAGUGCUAAGAACCCGAGUUCAAUCCCCAGAAUCCAUGACCAGAAAAGAAAAAGAAAAAAAAAAAGCUGGUGUGGUUGCGGAGUUUGCCAUCUCAGUGCUGAGGGGCAGAUAAAGUCAGGACGGGGGGUGGCGGGGCACUGGCUGGCUAGCCAGCCUGCCGUACUUGGUCACCUGUAGGCCAAUGAGAGACCCUGUUGCAAAAAGUAAGAAAGCAACUGAGAAACAGUACAUAUAUAUGGCAUGUGUGUGUUCACCCUUCCACAUGUGUCUGAGUACCACACAUGUUAUCUGAUG